GUUUCGGUAGCUCAGUGGCAGAGCGUGGGAUUGCAAAUCCCGAGGUCGUGGGUUCAAUCCCCACCCGGAACU
This 72-nucleotide transfer RNA is filed under the name Gnomoniopsis sp. IMI 355080. Its description in RNAcentral is "tRNA-Cys". It matches the Rfam family "tRNA". From Rfam's summary of the family: Transfer RNA (tRNA) molecules are approximately 80 nucleotides in length. Their secondary structure includes four short double-helical elements and three loops (D, anti-codon, and T loops). Further hydrogen bonds mediate the characteristic L-shaped molecular structure. tRNAs have two regions of fundamental functional importance: the anti-codon, which is responsible for specific mRNA codon recognition, and the 3' end, to which the tRNAs corresponding amino acid is attached (by aminoacyl-tRNA synthetases). tRNAs cope with the degeneracy of the genetic code in two manners: having more than one tRNA (with a specific anti-codon) for a particular amino acid; and 'wobble' base-pairing, i.e. permitting non-standard base-pairing at the 3rd anti-codon position. Lineage: Eukaryota; Fungi; Ascomycota; Sordariomycetes; Diaporthales; Gnomoniaceae. The record is from RNAcentral.